AUAAAGUUUAAUUCUGGUUUAAAGAUUUAUUUAAUUUUUUUUUUACAUGUAAAUUUUUGUAAGUUUAUUAUUUAAAUUUUAAUAAUUAAAUAAUAUAAUUUAUUCGCAGUAUUUAAUAUUGAUAAUUUAAGAAAUUAAGAAUUAGGAAUAAAUUUAAAAUAUUAACAAAUUUUGUGCCAGCAGUUGCGGUUAAACAAAAAAUAUGAAUAAAUUUUAUUAGUAAAUAAUUAUAUAAUAUUAAUAAAUAAAUAAAAAUUAUAUUUAUAAGGUAAAAUUUUAAAUGUAAAUUAAUUUAUUUAGUUAUGAUCUUGAAAUUUAAAGAUUUUGGCGGUAUUUUAGUCUAUUUAGAGGAACCUGUUCUAUAAUUGAUAAUCCACGAUUAAUAGUACUUAUUUUAAAAAUUUGUAUAUCGUCGUUAUAAGAAAAUUUUAAUAGAAUAUAAAUUUUUAGUAUUUUAAAUUAGAAGUUAUUUCAGAUCAAGGUGCAGUUGAUAUUUAAGAAAGAAAUGGGUUACAAUAAAUUUAUUUAUAUGGAUAAAAAAUUAAAAAUAUUUUUUUGAAAGUGGAUUUAAUAGUAAUAAGAUUUAAUUAAAUUUUAUGAUUUUAGCUCUAAAAUAUGUACAUAUCGCCCGUCACUCUUAUUUUAAGAUAAGAUAAGUCGUAACAUAGUAGAUGUACUGGAAAGUGUAUCUAGAAUGAC
Molecule: non-coding RNA, 699 nt
Filed under: Amara aulica
Lineage: Eukaryota; Metazoa; Arthropoda; Insecta; Coleoptera; Carabidae
Source: RNAcentral